UGUGUGUUAGUGGAAGCGUCUGGAAAGGCGCGCGAUACAGGGUGACAGCCCCGUACACAAAAAUGCACAUACUGUGAGCUCGAUGAGUAGGGCGGGACACGUGGUAUCCUGUCUGAAUAUGGGGGGACCAUCCUCCAAGGCUAAAUACUCCUGACUGACCGAUAGUGAACCAGUACCGUGAGGGAAAGGCGAAAAGAACCCCGGCGAGGGGAGUGAAAAAGAACCUGAAACCGUGUACGUACAAGCAGUGGGAGCCUCUUUUAUGGGGUGACUGCGUACCUUUUGUAUAAUGGGUCAGCGACUUAUAUUCUGUAGCAAGGUUAACCGAAUAGGGGAGCCGAAGGGAAACCGAGUCUUAACUGGGCGUUAAGUUGCAGGGUAUAGACCCGAAACCCGGUGAUCUAGCCAUGGGCAGGUUGAAGGUUGGGUAACACUAACUGGAGGACCGAACCGACUAAUGUUGAAAAAUUAGCGGAUGACUUGUGGCUGGGGGUGAAAGGCCAAUCAAACCGGGAGAUAGCUGGUUCUCCCCGAAAGCUAUUUAGGUAGCGCCUCGUGAAUUCAUCUCCGGGGGUAGAGCACUGUUUCGGCAAGGGGGUCAUCCCGACUUACCAACCCGAUGCAAACUGCGAAUACCGGAGAAUGUUAUCACGGGAGACACACGGCGGGUGCUAACGUCCGUCGUGAAGAGGGAAACAACCCAGACCGCCAGCUAAGGUCCCAAAGUCAUGGUUAAGUGGGAAACGAUGUGGGAAGGCCCAGACAGCCAGGAUGUUGGCUUAGAAGCAGCCAUCAUUUAAAGAAAGCGUAAUAGCUCACUGGUCGAGUCGGCCUGCGCGGAAGAUGUAACGGGGCUAAACCAUGCACCGAAGCUGCGGCAGCGACACUAUGUGUUGUUGGGUA
Molecule: ribosomal RNA, 903 nt
Filed under: Escherichia coli
Lineage: Bacteria; Pseudomonadati; Pseudomonadota; Gammaproteobacteria; Enterobacterales; Enterobacteriaceae
Description: partial 23S ribosomal RNA
Rfam family: Bacterial large subunit ribosomal RNA
Source: RNAcentral